Daphnia pulex (common water flea) is the source of this 589-nucleotide long non-coding RNA. RefSeq lists it as uncharacterized. The transcript is spliced from 3 exons. The record is from RefSeq and is a predicted model, not a curated record. NCBI's taxonomy places the organism in Eukaryota, Metazoa, Arthropoda, Branchiopoda, Diplostraca, Daphniidae.
UUCCUUUUCGAAUCAGAAUCAACAUUAAACUCGACCAAGUGGUCAUUUCUUUGUCACAUCAUGGGCUUCAUGGCCACAUGAGUUGUUACUUUUCUCAUUAAAACUUGACUUUAAUGUUCCAUUCCACGUGGCAAAGAGACAGAACUGAUAUCAAAGAAACUGAAUCCACAAACCCAGUGAACUAAAUAUUUCAAAAAUCAACUAGAAUUACCCAUGGCCACCUCAUGCAAGAUGGAGCAGAAUCAAUGUGAUCACCACCAAAAGUAGAAACGGCGCGUUUAGACGAGCGUGCCAAUCGGGAUCGGAUUUCGCUUAGGAUCAAUUUCAUUAUCGGUUUCCCAUACUCUACGAUAAGGAGGACAUUUCCUAGAAGGGGGAAAAAAAAUAUGUAACUGUGGAGAUGGACACCGAAGAAGGUAUUAUAAUACCACAUGCCUAGAGCAUUGUAUUUGCAACGUCUAAAGUCUUUCUUUUCUCUUUUCUUUUUCAUGAUGGGUAUAUUAUAUAUAUGUAUGCAUUAUCUGCGAAAGUGUAUGACAAGUAGUCGAGACGUCUAUCUUCUACUAAAUAAUAGACACACUACAACAGA